Molecule: ribosomal RNA, 474 nt
Filed under: bacterium T-1-0-1E
Lineage: Bacteria
Description: bacterial SSU rRNA
Rfam family: Bacterial small subunit ribosomal RNA
Source: RNAcentral
AGGGAGAACGGGACUUAUUAGCUAAUAACUAGAGGUUAUUGAUGUCUACCUAAAGAAUAUAGCACCGGCUAACUUCCGUGCCAGCAGCCGCGGUAAUACGGAGGGUGCAAGCGUCAAUCGGAAUUACUGGGCGUAAAGGGCGCGUAGGUGGUACUUGUAAGUUGGGUGUGAAGAUCCCCGAGGCUCAACCUGGGAAUUGCAUACCAAAACUGGAGUGCUAGAGUGUGGUAGAGGGUAACGGAAUUUCGUGGUGUAGCGGUGAAAUGCGUAGAUAUCAGAAGGAACAUCAAUGGCGAAGGCAGCUACCUGGGCCAACACUGACGCUGAGGCGCGAAAGCAUGGGGAGCAAACAGGAUUAGAUACCCUGGUAGUCCAUGCUAUAAACGAUGACAACUUGUNGAUGGGGGCAUUGGCCUUCGUUGACGGAGCUAACGCAUUAAGUNGUCCGCCUGGGGAGUACGGUCGCAAGGCUGA